AUCGAACGCUGGCGGCAGGCCUAACACAUGCAAGUCGAACGAGUGGCGGACGGGUGAGUAAUGUCUGGGAAACUGCCUGAUGGAGGGGGAUAACUACUGGAAACGGUAGCUAAUACCGCAUACCAUCAGAUGUGGCCAGAUGGGACUAGCUUGUUGGUGGGGUAACGGUUCACCAAGGCGACGAUCCCUAGCUGGUCUGGGAGGAUGACGAGCCACACUGGAACUGAUACACGGUCCAGACGCCUACGAGAGGCAGCGGGGGGAGAUAUGGCAGAAUGGGCGCAAGCCUGAUGAAGCCAUGCCGGGUGUAUGAAGAAGGCCUUCGGGUUGUAAAGUACUUUCAGCGGGGAGGGGUUACCCGCAGAAGAAGCACCGGCUAACUCCGUGCCAGCAGCCGCGGUAAUUC
Molecule: ribosomal RNA, 406 nt
Filed under: uncultured bacterium
Lineage: Bacteria
Description: partial 16S ribosomal RNA
Rfam family: Bacterial small subunit ribosomal RNA
Source: RNAcentral